Molecule: long non-coding RNA, 2533 nt
Organism: Gallus gallus (chicken)
Lineage: Eukaryota; Metazoa; Chordata; Aves; Galliformes; Phasianidae
Source: Ensembl
GGGCGGCGCUCCGAGGGAACCCUUCCGGGGGCGAAGAGCCGGAGUUUGCUCGGGGGCGGAGGCCGCGGGCCGCCCUCGUCUGCCCCUGGGCCGUUUUUAUGCCCCGGUAUGCCCCUUCACGCCGCUCCCUGCCGAGGCUGGAAGCGGCAGCGGUUUACCAACCAGACGCAGCUGUAAAGUUCUGCACGUGUUAUGUGUUGGUUUGCUUAAGGCAACGCACGGCUUGCUGUACACAGAUGCAUGUUCUGCCCCUAAGAGAUGAUGAAGAUGGAAGUUCGUGGCUUGCUCCUUGCUUCUCAGAUAUGGACAGGUGACAACCUACAAGCCACGUGAGCGAUCCUGGUGUCCUGCAGCCACCUCGCCACUCUCUACCAAUAGUCCAAGUGUGGGGGACACAGGAGUGUCUUGGUGAUGGGAUGACAGCCUUGCUGCAUGUCAGGCUCCUGAAGCCGGUGAAGGAGAAACAGCAGUCUGAGGUGAAACAACAUUCAACAAAACCUCAUCAAAUGCUUUCAGAGGUCUCUGAAAAAAUUACUGUUGUGCUUAAAAAUUGAAUAUUAUCUACUAAACUUUAUUUUCGUUUGAAACCUGACUGUCCCAUCCUCCCCGUUUUCAUCUAAGAAUGAAAAUGACACGUUACAUUAAAGGUACUGCUACCUCUCUAUAAGUAAUUACUCUAAAAAUAUAGCAGUUCUUACAUGCACAUCGCUGUGAUUGCAGUAUUUGGCCAGGGAUGAAAACAAUCAUCUGAUUACUUGCAUACUUACAGUGUUAUGCAGAAGUCUGAUGGAUUAAAGGAUUUUCUGAGGCCAAAACUAAUAUCCGUAUUCUCUCGUUCUUUGUUUUUAAAUUAAGUUUUGCUUUUGUUUUUUUUUUAAAGCAUCUGAGGAGUGAAACUGUCCAUGGCUUUAGAAAGAUUUUCCUCAAAUCAUUUGAGUGCGUACUUUUUAAUUGUCAGCCAAUCUCAUCUAGAGAUAAAAUCUGUGAAGAUUUGAUAGGAUUUAAGCGGUCUGCCUGUUUUAGGCAGAUUCUUAUUAUGAUUGAAAGAAACGAGGAAAAGAAUGAUGAUAUUCCCAUUUCUAAAACAGUCUUUGCUCUUACUGUGUUUGUUGUUUAUACCCAUUCCAGCCUUAGUACACUGAAUUAAGGUUAAGCUACCUUAAAGCAGAGAAUGUAAGGACUUUGUCAUCAGUUACGCAAAAGUGUAUAUGAAAGUGAAGUAUUUCCCUUUGAUACAGAACACGGAAGUGGAGCAUCUGAAAAAUAAGAAUUGUAAUUAAAAUUCAUACACAUCUUCCUUUUUUCAAAGCAUCUCCUCUCAGCACUGACAUACUGACAGCCCGAAACACUUAUCUGUAAUGUUCUUUUAGACUCUUUCCAGUAAUGCAUUGAGUACUGUCACCAUUUGGCAAAUUACUCACUGGUGUUUCAGUGUGCCAUUGCUGUUGCUUUUCACUUGGGAUUAUUAAAAAGCUCCUAUAGCUGAUCUACAAGGGCAAAAUCGAGACAUUCUGGAUACAAGGGCUAUUUUUUCAGUCCAGUUGAGGAGGAUGAUUUGUAGCAACUGUGCAUAUGGCACUAAUUAAUGGGAUUUGAGUAGACUUUGGCAUAGCUUCCUGCCUAAAGAAGAAGAAAAGAGGUAACAACAGAUUUGCUGUGUGCCUUUCACUGCUUCUUAUGGAAUGUUAUAUGUACUCCUGAAGUUUUUAUUUUCAAUCAUAGUCACAUAGUCAUUUCUGCAGUAAUUUUAUCAGAUGGAUAGGACGUUCAAGCAACUUUUGAAAAUUCCUUGUGCUCUGCAUUAUGAAGUCUGUUAGUCAUACUUGGCACAGACUACAAAUCUGAGCCUGAUUUUCAGGCUUUCAAAGGGCCAAAAUAAAAUUAUUGUUCUCUAAUACAUUUUUUCUUCACAUUUAUUCGAGUGUGCAUUAGCUGUACAUCCAACAAAAUUGCAUUUUACUCCUUCGUUUUAGGCUUAAGUAGCAGUCGCAGGAGAUUAAAUGCAGUUAAGCAUAACGAAGCGUGAGGAUGACAAGAAAAAUGAAGCAGAGGUGCCUUAUCUCCCAAUUCAUCGCAGUACAAAUUUUAUAUUCCAGACACAAAUGCCACUUUGGGAUUGAAAUCGUACUACGUGAAUCCGUGUGAUUUUGGCAGCUGUCUGAUGGGAAUGAAAUGCUGGCAGGCUUUCAAAAGCCUGAAGAAUAGGAAUCAGGCAGUGAGCCUACAUGAGCCUUUAAAAGAAGAUAUUUACAAAGUCUUUAUUAUAAAAAAUGAAAAAAAAUAAAGUUAUCUAAAGGUGUCAUCUGUGUCAGCCUCUAUGGAUUUAGUUCCCCUCCUUUGUUACACAAAGACAAUAUUGAUUCAAAAUUCAUUAGCAGUGUUUCAUUAAUGCCAGCGGAGGGCAGACUUGAACUGGAAACUCUUUUUGCUGCUUGGAUUUCUUGAACUUAAAAUACAGGACAGUCCCUUAAGCUCAGAGCUGAUGGCAAUCUCAUCACUUCUCCACGAUUCUAAUUACUCUUGUGCUGGAUAA